Folsomia candida is the source of this 211-nucleotide long non-coding RNA. RefSeq lists it as uncharacterized. The transcript is spliced from 2 exons. NCBI's taxonomy places the organism in Eukaryota, Metazoa, Arthropoda, Collembola, Entomobryomorpha, Isotomidae. The record is from RefSeq and is a predicted model, not a curated record.
GAACAAAACGACGACGAUGACGAGAACAUGAUCAACUUUCCGGAAGAUGAAGAUGAAGAAGGCGCGGAUGUAGAUUCUGAGGACGAGUUGCGUGACCCCAAUGAACACCCCGCUACCAAUGUUAUCCGCUACCGGAAAAAUGUUCCAUUUUUACCUCAAGUUACUGAUUAUGAGGAACCGGAGGUGUUCCUAAAAUUGGAUUUUGGGAUUA